CCUUACUGUAUUAUGUUUCUGCCCCAGUGAAAAGAGUAUUUGGUUGUUACCACCAUGAAGCUUUGACACUUUGACCUUGUGGCUCAUAUAUUCUAUAAUAUAAUAUGAGCGAUCGGAAACAGUGGAAGUGUGGACAAACAUAUUUUUUAUAUAUGUUAAAAUCUUGAAGUCUCUAGGGAACGUUUGGUUUUGGAAGUUGAGUUUGGCAGAUCAGGAAAUGGUCACGUAAGUAACUGGAACUGCCAUGUACUUUACGUCAUUUUUUUUAGCAUUGAUACUUGACCUACUCUUAGAUGUGUACUUGUUAGAAGGGAAAGUUACAGCCCAUGUGACUAUAUCUGAUAGCAACAACCACAAUAUCUCUUGUCUCACCAAGACCUGCUACUCAAAACUAGUCCUGUUUAAUUUUUCAAAACGGUAACAGGCUUCUUAGUAACAAUAAUUCAACAAUUUACAAUGUAACAACAUUAUGAGUUAACGCUUAAGUUGUCUGUGAGAUUCUCUACCUAUAGGCUACUCUACCUGAACGUUACCAUGUAAAUGCUAACACCUUAUCUGAUGGAAUGUGUUAUUAAGAGUUCACGGAGGAAACGUCACAUAGCCGUGAACCAACUGAAAAAAACCACAGAAAAAAAUGUUCCACCUGAUUGGCCAAUGACAGGUUAAACUUCCUUUAAUGAAAAAGUCUGCAUGAUAUCUGUGUGUACGAACAGCUUCACUGUCUUUUAUCUGCCGGUCAUCGUCACACAUGGAUGGGUUGCAAAUUCUUACAGUCGUUCUCUUAGGAGUUGUUUCUUACAGUCAUGGUUGGAUUUCUGGACCAGUGUUGGAGGUGACAGUCAGACCAGGAGACAACAUCACUCUCUACUGUGACUGCAAAUUAUCAAGUGGAGUAUACAUAGUGUGGUACAGAAACUGCUCUCAUGAGAACCAGCCUUCUCUUGUCCUUGAAUCAAAACUUGAAUUAUAUGUGUUAACCGUUCUCCCUGGUUUUCAAUUUGUGAGAAACCAUUCCUCUGCCUCCUAUGACUUGUUGAUCAUGAACGUCACUGAUGCAGAUGAGGGUCUCUACUACUGUGGAACUAAACAGAUCAAGGUGGAGGACAAAGAAUUCAUCACUCCCAGAUAUGAUUACAGAUAUGGCAACGUCACAACAAGGAUCGGGAUCAUAGUCAAUUCCAGCCUUGACUCCAGUGGGUGCAUCUCAAGUCUUGUGCCUUCUGUGUCCUGGGUGAUGGUGUUCACUCCAGCCCUCAUGAUCCUCUCCUCCUUCCUCUCCUUUAUUCUGAUUCAUCACUUCUGUCAGAAAGCAGACAAGGAACGUCAAAUUCUCCAGAAAAGACCUGACGCCUGGGCACAAACAAGUUGGAAUAAGGAUGAAGAUGUGUAUUCAACACAAGUUGUGUUUCGGGCUAAGGAAGAAUAA
This 1426-nucleotide long non-coding RNA is filed under the name Dicentrarchus labrax (European seabass). RNAcentral's name for it is "lncRNA (ENSDLAG00005029010.1)". The record is from RNAcentral. Lineage: Eukaryota; Metazoa; Chordata; Actinopteri; Moronidae.